RNAcentral lists this ribosomal RNA (727 nucleotides) under Ornithocephalus sp. Szlachetko s.n. RNAcentral describes it as "eukaryotic LSU rRNA". The stretch from base 274 to 429 matches the Rfam family "5.8S ribosomal RNA". Lineage: Eukaryota; Viridiplantae; Streptophyta; Magnoliopsida; Asparagales; Orchidaceae. The record is from RNAcentral.
AGGAAGGAGAAGUCGUAACAAGGUUUCCGUAGGUGAACCUGCGGAAGGAUCAUUGUCGAGACCGAAAAAUAUAUUGAGCGAUUAUGACAACCUGUUAAAUGAGCGAAAGUUCAUCCUGGUCAUUGCCCCAGACUCUCUGCUGGAGGAAGGGGCGUGAUGGAGGAUGGACAAAUCACAAACUGGCGCAGCAUCGCGCCAAGGGAAGAUUUAAUCACGAGCCUCAUGUUAGGCUCGGUAGCGUGGAGUGCUAUUGCACGCCAUGUGCGCAGGCACGACUCUCGACAAUGGAUAUCUCGGCUCUUGCAUCGAUGAAGAGCGCAGCGAAAUGCGAUACGUGGUGCGAAUUGCAGAAUCCCGUGAACCAUCGAGUCUUUGAACGCAAGUUGCGCCCGAGGCCAUUCGGUCAAGGGCACGUUCGCCUGGGCGUCAAGCUUUACGUCGCUCCGUGCUAGUUUUCCAUUCACUUGAUGUAUUGGGCUAUGCUCGGAUGUGUAGAGUGGCUCGUCGCGCCCAUCAGCGUGGCGAGCUGAAGACUGGGUUUCAUCUCAGCGGCCAUGAACUAAUAAGGGGUGGGUGAAAGCUCUGAGCGCAGCCUGCAUUGUCUCGUGCUUGCCUAAGAGAUGGACAAUUCCUUUGCGAUUCUCGACCAUGCGUUGAUCUGCAUACGACGGCUUGGAAAGUGACCCCAGGAUGGGCGAGGACCCCGCUGAGUUUAAGCAUAUCAAUA